UUCCAGACUCCUACGGGAGGCAGCAGUGAGGAAUAUUGGUCAAUGGACGCAAGUCUGAACCAGCCAUGCCGCGUGCAGGAAGACGGCUCUAUGAGUUGUAAACUACUUUUGUACGAGGGUAAACGCAGAUACGUGUACCUGUCUGAAAGUAUCGUACGAAUAAGGAUCGGCUAACUACGUGCCAGCAGCCGCGGUCAUACGUAGGAUCCGAGCAUUAUCCGGAGUGACUGGGUGUAAAGAGUUGCGUAGGUGGCAUAGUAAGUAGCUAGUGAAAUCUGGUGGCUCAACCAUUCAGACUAUUAGCUAAACUGCUAAGCUCGAGACCGUUAGGGGUAACUGGAAUUUCUAGUGUAGGAGUGAAAUCCGUAGAUAUUAGAAGGAACACCGAUAGCGUAGGCAGGUUACUGGGACGGUUCUGACACUAAGGCACGAAAGCGUAGGGAGCAAACGGGAUUAGAUACCCCAGUA
Molecule: ribosomal RNA, 468 nt
Filed under: uncultured bacterium
Lineage: Bacteria
Description: bacterial SSU rRNA
Rfam family: Bacterial small subunit ribosomal RNA
Source: RNAcentral